UGAUUUAAUGAUUCAGCAAUAAGGUGUAAUAAUACUUUCAUAGCAUGGUGAAUGUCUAAGGCUAUUGUCUGAUUUCGUUUGUGCUCUUUGAUCAGUGGUCCUUUCACACUGGAGGAGGUGCCAGUUUCCAGCUGCACAGGUUUCAUAUUGUCAUAGUCUUAGCAAUUGAAUACAUAAAUAUGAUCCAAGGCUAUAAUUCUUUUUGAUGA
Molecule: long non-coding RNA, 209 nt
Organism: Amphimedon queenslandica
Lineage: Eukaryota; Metazoa; Porifera; Demospongiae; Haplosclerida; Niphatidae
Exons: 3
Source: RefSeq, a predicted model, not a curated record